Molecule: long non-coding RNA, 2153 nt
Organism: Canis lupus familiaris (dog)
Lineage: Eukaryota; Metazoa; Chordata; Mammalia; Carnivora; Canidae
Exons: 3
Source: RefSeq, a predicted model, not a curated record
CUGCCCCCACAGCCUGGUUCUCAGGGUCUCAGUCACAGGGCCCCCCUUCCAAUCCAGCAUGACAGUAGCCAUGGCCACUCUCGCUGUUUUGAGCUGUGGCUCGUUUCCAUUGUUUCUCCAGCUCUGCUGGCCCAGUUGGAGAGUGGGGUCUGUAUCAAGGGGUGAAUCAAUAUACCACCUCUACGCCCUGAAUAAACAAUCCCUGAGUCAGCCAGUCCUAUGUGACCCUGGGCCCUGUCCUGACACUGAAUUCUGUCCUGAGACUGUUUUAUCCCAAUCCUGAGUCCUAUCCUUGUCCUGAGUCCUGUCCUGAUCCUCGGUCCUAUCCUGAUCCUGAAUUCUAUCCUGAUCCUGAAUCCUAUCCUGAUCCUGAGUUCUAUCCUGAUUCUGAGUCCUAUUCUAAUCCUGGGUCUUAUUCUAAUCCUGAGUCCUAUUCUGAUCUUGAAUCCUAUCCCAAUCCUUAUCCUGAUCCUGAGUCCUAUUCCGAUCCUGAGUCCUAUUUUGAUCCUGAAUCCUAUUCUGAUAACAAGUUCUAUCCUGAUGCUGGGUUCUGUUCUGAUGCUGGGUCUUAUUUUAAUCCUGAGUCUUGGUCUUAUCUUGGAUCCUGUCCUGAUCCUGAAUCCUAUCUUGAUCCUGAGUUCUUAUUUUGAUCCUGGGUCUUAUUUUAAUCCUGAGAACUGUUUUGAUCCUGGAUCUUAUUUUAAUCUUGAAUCCUGUCCUGAUCCUGGAUCUUAUUUUAAUCUUGAGUCCUGUCCCAAUCCUGAGUCCUGUCCCAAUCCUGGAUUCUGUCCUGAGACUGUGUUUUAUCCUAUCCUUGUCCUGAGUCCUGUCCUCAUCCUCAGUCCUUUUCUAGUCCUGUGUCCUGUUUUGUUCCUGAGUCUUGUCCUGAUACUGAGUCCUAUUCUGAACCUGAGUCGUGUCCUGAUUCUGAGUCCCAUCCUGAUCCUGAGUCCUGUCCUGACCUUCAGUCCUGUUCUUCCCAGAGGUGACAGGCACGAUGGGACUGACUGGUCCAGAGUAUUUCCCUGGACUCCAUCCCCCCUUGCCUUCUAGGACACUUCCUGGGCUUUCACAGCCAGGGCAGCAUCAGGAAUCACAUCAGGAACGUGAUGAGGCAGUGCAGUGGGUUGAACAGUGUCUUCCUGGAACUGCAGAAUACGACCUUAUUUGGAAAUCAGGUCUUUGCAGGUGGAGUCAAGUUGAGGUGAGGCCCCAAUUCAAUGGCUGGUGUCCUUGUAAGAGAAAAGAGGAGGAGAGGUGAGGUGCAGACACACAGGGAGAAAGGCCACAUGAAGUCAGAGUUAGGCACCAGCUGGAGGCCAGGAGCAUCAAGAAUGCUGGCGGUCCCAGGAGCUGGAGGAGGCAAGAGGGAUCCUCCCCCAGAGCUGUCAGGGAGGGCACGGCCCUGCUGACUCCACCGUGGACUUCCAGCAGAACGGGGGGACAAUCAACGUCUACUGCCUUUGUGGUCAUCUGUUCUGGGAGCCACAGAAAAGUAACACAGGGAACACGUGAGAGGAAAUCAUGGGCUAUAGAAGCGCAGAACUGUGAGAGCACUGAGGUUAUUGUAAGAUUGAAGACAAACAAGCGGAUGUGAUUUCCCUGGGGAAGUGGCACAAACAGGAACCAGGAAAUGACCGUGCGCCCAGCAUCUCACCUGACCCCGGGCAGUCCAGCUGCUGUGUCCCUGUUUGCUGCCAGUGCAAAGUCUGAGAUGGUGACCAGAGGCCUCAAGUAAGUUCAAUCUCCCAGGAAGUGAGCAGAUCUUCAUCAGUUCUGGGUACUUUCCGGACCCAGGAAGAGUUUUCUGAAUCCUGAGGAAGAGAAUGACCCUGCCAUGGUCCUUUGCUUGUCCUGUGACUCCCCUUCCUGUUACUUACCAGAAAGAGCCUCCUCUUCCUCACUCCAUCCCUCCUGGUCUCCAACACCUACAGCCUGAAAUUUCCUCCACGAACACUCUCCAGGUCCAGCCCAGGAGGUGACCCUCCGUGCCCGCGGGCUCCUACUGACUCUCACUCUUUGCCCUUUCCCUCAUGCUUCUCCCGAGCCAGCUGGGCAGCCAAGAUCAGAAGUAGGGGCACAAACUAUAUCUGAGGUUCUUAAGGUCCAGCUGGGCCUUCAAUCCGUUUAAAUAAAAUGUUCUGCACCCAGAA